This is a long non-coding RNA of Pyrus x bretschneideri (Chinese white pear), 722 nucleotides long. RefSeq lists it as uncharacterized. The transcript has 4 exons. Lineage: Eukaryota; Viridiplantae; Streptophyta; Magnoliopsida; Rosales; Rosaceae. The record is from RefSeq and is a predicted model, not a curated record.
UUUAGAUUUUUUACCCUUUUAAAGCAGAAAAAGAAUGUAAUUAUGAAUAAAGUUUCGUUUUUGGUACUUCCCUAAUCAUGUGAUACAAAUGGCUUCAAGAAUUCAGAGUGCAGGGUAUAGCCGAAAUGGAAAAGCGUAUGUACACGACUUUCUUGAUGUUAACGGCGACCAGUUCUCAUAGUGGAUGCUUCUAAGCAUCUUUCUGCUAUGAAGUUUUGUAUGGUACUUUGGUCACUGAACAAAAAGUGCCACAGGUGCAUGGUCCCGCUGAUAAAGAGAAGCUCUACGUGCCCUUCCAGAAAAGAGCAAAGAAAUACUAGGAAUCUUCAAUCUACGUUGGGUCCAGCGAAAGUAAUCUUGGUUUAGCAAAUUGGCAGCGAGAUUGCACACUUCUCACUCCAUUUUUGAAAACCUGCAGCACAACACGGGCACUCUUGCAAGUAAUAUCUAGAGCACAGCUGGUUGGGAUAAUGAUGGAAUAAUUAGGGAUUGGACAGCUGGCGACUUACAACUCCAUGCUAUCAGCACGGCAGCAGAGAGAGAUUAUGUGGAGGCUGUUCAUGCAAUAUCAUGACUCUUACUAAUAAACAUCGUUUUCAAAUUAAUUGCAUGAGGCAUAUUUGGAUGAGUCCUGCAUGUGAAGUGAUCAGCAGGUGAACAUUAAAUGGCAUAUGCCGUGUUUUUAUCCACUCGUGAUUUAAGUAGAUGAUGCUAUCAGAAAA